Molecule: non-coding RNA, 204 nt
Organism: Labrus bergylta (ballan wrasse)
Lineage: Eukaryota; Metazoa; Chordata; Actinopteri; Labriformes; Labridae
Source: RefSeq, a predicted model, not a curated record
GAGAGAUAUUGUUUGGAAAUGGGACAAAGAUUGACAUCAAAGGAGCCGACAAUCAGACGGCCGUAAUAGCUCUGUUUCUGUUAUCAGCUGCUUUGGCUAUAAGCUUGAUUAUUAUAGCUUUCCUGAUUCAUAUCAUCAAGACUAAAUCGUGUGAGUCCAGCAAAGCUGCUGAAGUUCUGCAACACAUCCUGCAGCAGAUCGACG